GAUUAACGUUGGUAGCAUGUCUAACAAUAGCAAGUCGAACGGGAUUAUAGCAAUAUAAUUCAGUGGCGAACGGGUGAGUAAUACUUAUCUUACCUACCGUUUAGUGGGGGAUGAAAUACCGCAUGUUCUGGCUUCGGCCAGCAAAGGAAGUCGCUAGGCUUUCGCUAAAUGAUGGGGAUAAGGCGUAUCAGUUAGUUGGUGGGGUAAUGGCCUACCAAGGCAAUGACGCGUAGUCGGGCUGAGAGGCUGACCGGCCACAAGGGAACUGAGACAAGGUCCCUACUCCUACGGGAGGCAGCAUUGGGGAAUCGAUGGCAAUGAGGGAAACCUUGACCACGCAAUGCUACGUGAAGGAAGAAGGUCUACGGAUUGUAAACUUCUUUACUAGAGAGUACUUCCGCAAGGUUUGCUCUUUGGCAAAAAGUCACGACUAACUACGUGCCAGCAGUCGCGGUAAGACGUAGGUGGCGAACGUUAUCCGGAAGCAUUGGGCGUAAAGGGUGCGUAGAUGGCAAGAUAAGUUAGCGGUGGUAAAUCGAGGCUCAACCUCGUGGAAGCCGGUAAUACUGUUUUGCUUGAGUGCAGGAGAGGUUAACGGAACUCCAUGUGGAGCGGUAAAAUGCACAGAUAUAUGGAUGAACAUCAAUAACGGCGAAGGCAGUUAACUAUUCUGCUACUGACAUUGAGGCACGAAAGCGUGGGGAGCAAAACGGAUUAGAUACCCGUGUAGUCCACGCCCUAAACGAUGAGUACUAGAUAUUGGGAACUUGAUACUCAGUGUCGCUAGUUAACACAGUAAGUACUCCGCCUGGGCAGUACGCUCGCAAGAGUGAAACUCAAAGGAAUUGACGGGGACUCGCACAAGCAGUGGAGCAUGUGGUUUAAUCCGAUACAACGCGUAGAACCUUACCAAGGCUUGACAUGUAAGGUAGCAAUACUAAACUAGGGAAACCUAGUUGAAUUACACAGGUGCUGCACGGCCGUCGUCAGUUCGUGCCGUGAGGUGUAUGGUUAAGUCCUACAACGAACGCAACCCUUGGACUUAGUUGCCAGCAUUCAGUUGGGGACUCUAGGUCGACUGCCUGAGUAAUCAGGAGGAAGGAGAGGAUGAAGUCUGGCCGAUAUGGCCCUUAUGCCUUGGGCGACACACGUGCUACAAUGGUUAACACAAAGGGAUGCCAACCCGCGAGGGGGAGCCAAGCCCAAAAAAUUAACCUCAGUUCGGAUUGGAGGCUGCAACUCGCCUCCAUGAAGGUGGAAUUGCUAGUAAUCGCAAAUCAGCCAUGUUGCGGUGAAUACGUUCUCGAGUCUUGUACACACCGCCCGUCAAAUCACGAAAGUCGGUAAUGCCUGAAACCAGUUAGUUAACCCGCAAGGGAUGCGGCUGACAAGGGCAGGAUUGACAAUUGGGGUUAAGUCGUAACAAGGUAAAU
RNAcentral lists this ribosomal RNA (1433 nucleotides) under uncultured soil bacterium. RNAcentral describes it as "partial 16S ribosomal RNA". It matches the Rfam family "Bacterial small subunit ribosomal RNA". The record is from RNAcentral.